UACGUAGGGAGCAAGCGUUGUCCGGAAUCAUUGGGCGUAAAGCGCGUGUAGGCGGCCAGAAAAGUCCGCUGUGAAAACUCGAGGCUCAACUUCGAGCUGUCGGUGGAAACUUUCUGGCUAGAGUCCGGAAGAGGAGAAUGGAAUUCCUGGUGUAGCGGUGAAAUGCGCAGAUAUCAGGAAGAACACCCGUGGCGAAGGCGGUUCUCUGGGACGGUACUGACGCUGAGACGCGAAAGCGUGGGGAGCGAACAGG
RNAcentral lists this ribosomal RNA (253 nucleotides) under uncultured bacterium. Its description in RNAcentral is "partial 16S ribosomal RNA". It matches the Rfam family "Bacterial small subunit ribosomal RNA", at positions 524 to 776 of the family's 1533-position model. The record is from RNAcentral.